This 433-nucleotide ribosomal RNA is filed under the name uncultured bacterium. RNAcentral describes it as "partial 16S ribosomal RNA". It matches the Rfam family "Bacterial small subunit ribosomal RNA", at positions 29 to 507 of the family's 1533-position model. The record is from RNAcentral.
AGCGAACGCUGGCGGCAGGCCUAACACAUGCAAGUCGAACGGAUCCUUCGGGAUUAGUGGCGGACGGGUUAGUAACACGUGGGAACGUUCCCUUUGGUUCGGAACAACUCAGGGAAACUUGAGCUAAUACCGGAUGUGCCCUUCGGGGGAAAGAUUUAUCGCCAUUGGAGCGGCCCGCGUCUGAUUAGCUAGUUGGUGAGGUAACGGCCCACCAAGGCGACGAUCAGUAGCUGGUCUGAGAGGAUGAUCAGCCACACUGGGACUGAGACACGGCCCAGACUCUUACGGGAAGCAGAAGUGGGGAAUCUUGCGCAAUGGGCGAGAGACUGACGCAGCCAGGCCGCGUGAAUGAUGAAGGUCUUAGGAUUGUAAAAUUCUUUCAGCGGGGACGAUAAUGACGGUACCCGCAGAAGAAGCGCCGGCUAACUUCGUG